Molecule: long non-coding RNA, 381 nt
Organism: Felis catus (domestic cat)
Lineage: Eukaryota; Metazoa; Chordata; Mammalia; Carnivora; Felidae
Exons: 2
Source: RefSeq, a predicted model, not a curated record
UUGCACAUUGCAAAAAUUCCCAUGAUGGCCAACAGAGAGAGCUCGAGCACCACAGACCCGGAGAGGCGGGUUCCUCUGCCCAGGCAGUGAUGGCCAGCAGAAGGCGCACCAUCGGCUUUUCUGACCCAGGGCACCUGAGAGCAGGAAGGGCUUUGAUUGCUCCCAGAGUACUCAGGGCCUCUGCCGCUGCCUGAGUACAGAGAGCAGAGCUGCAUUUCCAGCAGAUUCAGGCUUGUUUCCGGGAAGAAACCCUGACAGAAAUUCAGAAGAACAGGAGCUGCAUUCCGUUAGGACAUGAAUACAUGAAAUGCUCGUCUUGGGAACUCCUAGAAGAAUGAGCUGGGACCCACUUUCUGAGUCCUGCUAGAACCAUUGACGGAG